AAUGAACGUUGGCGGCGUGGAUUAGGCAUGCAAGUCGAGCGGGUAUAGCAAUAUAUCAGCGGCGAAAGGGAGAGUAACGCGUAGUUACGUGCCCCGAGGUCCAGAAUAGCUGCGGGAAACUGCAGGUAAUGCUGGAUAAUAUCUCCGGAUCAAAGGUGUGAUUCCGCCUCGGGAGCGGACUGCGUUGUACUAGCUAGUUGGUAGGGUAAUGGCCUACCAAGGCGAUGAUGCAUACCGGGCGUGAGAGCGUGGCCCGGCUCACUGGGACUGAGACACUGCCCAGACACCUACGGGUGGCAG
This 300-nucleotide ribosomal RNA is filed under the name uncultured Planctomycetota bacterium. RNAcentral describes it as "bacterial SSU rRNA". It matches the Rfam family "Bacterial small subunit ribosomal RNA", at positions 29 to 351 of the family's 1533-position model. Lineage: Bacteria; Pseudomonadati; Planctomycetota. The record is from RNAcentral.